Protopterus annectens (West African lungfish) is the source of this 1086-nucleotide long non-coding RNA. RefSeq lists it as uncharacterized. The record is from RefSeq and is a predicted model, not a curated record. The transcript has 2 exons. Lineage: Eukaryota; Metazoa; Chordata; Ceratodontiformes; Protopteridae.
AAGCUCUAUGGAAACAUGGAAGCACUGUUGGUAUACCGGUUUGGCGGUGCCAACGCCCUACGGGUCACCCCACGCCUGUCUCUGGCAGCUGGCCCGUUGCAUGUAGUAUAUAUAUGAUUUAAUUUCUCCCAAAGCUGUGGACAGAAUUGUUGUGGUUAUUUGUGCAAAGUUCUGCCUUGGGUAUAGCAGGUUGCGCGAUGGGGGAGAGUACAGAAAUAACUUGUCCCUCCACGACAAUUCGGGAUGCAGUUGUUGCUGCCCUGAAGAAGUGGGGGCUGAGAGUGGUUGUUGCUGGACUGAUAGUGACUGUUAUUGUACUGGCACCGGUCGCGUUUGAAGGGAUGCUCACCGGGAUAGCCAGUCUUAUAUCGUGGUUUGCUGGAAGUGCAUAUACGCUUCUGGGUUAUUUGUUCGGAAACUGCCCGACCAGCGGUUUACCUAUUGAGCUUUCAGCCAGUGUGGUGGCCACCUUAUCCAUCUGCAUACGUCCGCAUUUCACCACAUCAAAAUUAAAAUAAUGGGAAGCAAACGCCCCAAAACACGGAGAGAUUAUUUUCAUCUGAGUGGAAGAUUUUCUUUUACAAAAGGUUUAAAUGAGACAAGCAUCUUCAUUCUGGGAAAUUCAUGAGCUGCAAAUUUUCAUUCUACAACAUGAAUUUAUAUGGUGGAGGACUUUGACCAUCACAUAUUUUCUUCUUUGCAUUUUCCCUAUCAGUCUGGCAAGAAUCUGGUUGUCAGGGUAGUCUGUGAGGUAUUGCUUAAUAUAUUAUUUGUGAUUUUAGCUUACUGGUAUGUUUUCAGUAGCAUUAUAGAAGAUAUGUUCUUUAUGGUACAUUUGUUUAAGUGUUUCAAAUAUUACAUAACUUUUACACACAUUAUAAACAAAUUAUAUAUUGUUAUCUUCCAACAUGAGAUUUUUUUAUCUGUACUCAAGUCAAACUAAACUCGUAACAUGAAAUCAAAGCAUGAAGACUCAAGAAAGGUUACAGCCUUCAUACAGCUUUAAAUAUGUUGGAAUUAAUUCAACAUGAAUGAUAGUUAUAAUGUGGGUGUCUAUGAUCUGUAAUAAAACAUACCUUGAUAUUA